Molecule: long non-coding RNA, 352 nt
Organism: Rhinolophus ferrumequinum (greater horseshoe bat)
Lineage: Eukaryota; Metazoa; Chordata; Mammalia; Chiroptera; Rhinolophidae
Exons: 2
Source: RefSeq, a predicted model, not a curated record
AAAAGCUCCAAUACCCAAGCAGAGGACACACGAGGGGACACAGGGAGCGUACCUCGCAAGACUUAGGCAGCUUGGCCCAACGACCAUGAGGCUGGCCCCUGCCAUCAGGCUGCUGCAAGCGCCCCUGCGGGGCUGGGUGGUCCCCAGGGCGUACAUCUCCGCCAAACCGGCCAAAACACCCACCUCUGCCUCAGAGCAGGCCUCGGCGCUGUGUGUGACGUUCUUCAGCUUCCUGAUCCCUGCAGGCUGGGUGCUGUCCCACCUGGAGAGCUACAAGAAGUCUGCUGCGUGAAGGCUGUGCUGCCACUGCCGCAGGAGGGCGCGGAGGGGUGGCAUUAAAGCCCUCCCCCCA